GCUUUCGUUGUGUAACAGUAGCACACUCGGCUCGUGUUCGAGACGUCCAAGUUCGAGUCUUGGUGAGGACA
Molecule: transfer RNA, 71 nt
Filed under: Stegodyphus mimosarum
Lineage: Eukaryota; Metazoa; Arthropoda; Arachnida; Araneae; Eresidae
Rfam family: tRNA
About the family: Transfer RNA (tRNA) molecules are approximately 80 nucleotides in length. Their secondary structure includes four short double-helical elements and three loops (D, anti-codon, and T loops).
Source: Rfam by way of RNAcentral